AGUCGAGCGGUAACAGGAAUUAGCUUGCUAAUUUGCCGACGAGCGGCGGACGGGUGAGUAACGCGUAGGAAUCUGCCUGGUAGUGGGGGACAACAUGUGGAAACGCAUGCUAAUACCGCAUACGCCCUACGGGGGAAAGGAGGGGAUCUUCGGACCUUUCGCUAUCAGAUGAGCCUGCGUGAGAUUAGCUAGUUGGUGGGGUAAAGGCUCACCAAGGCGACGAUCUCUAGCUGGUCUGAGAGGAUGAUCAGCCACACUGGGACUGAGACACGGCCCAGACUCCGACGGGAGGCAGCAGUGGGGAAUAUUGGACAAUGGGGGCAACCCUGAUCCAGCCAUGCCGCGUGUGUGAAGAAGGCCUUAGGGUUGUAAAGCACUUUCAGGAGUGAGGAAGGGUGUACGGUUAAUACCCGUAUAUUUUGACGUUAACUCCAGAAGAAGCACCGGCUAACUCUGUGCCAGCAGCCGCGGUAAUACAGAGGGUGCAAGCGUUAAUCGGAAUUACUGGGCGUAAAGCGCGCGUAGGCGGUUUGUUAAGUCGGAUGUGAAAUCCCAGGGCUCAACCUUGGAAUGGCACCCGAUACUGGCAGGCUAGAGUACGGUAGAGGGGUGUGGAAUUUCCUGUGUAGCGGUGAAAUGCGUAGAUAUAGGAAGGAACAUCAGUGGCGAAGGCGACACUCUGGACCGAUACUGACGCUG
Molecule: ribosomal RNA, 699 nt
Filed under: uncultured Marinomonas sp.
Lineage: Bacteria; Pseudomonadati; Pseudomonadota; Gammaproteobacteria; Oceanospirillales; Oceanospirillaceae
Description: bacterial SSU rRNA
Rfam family: Bacterial small subunit ribosomal RNA
Source: RNAcentral